CAAUAGGCCUGAGGGGAUUAUUCCCAAAAAAUUUCCUAUUAUUCUAUUCCCAAAUUCUUAAUUUUUUUGUAAUUAUUCUUCUGUAUUUAUGGCUAUUAUUCUCAAAUUAUUCAUGUAACAUAAGAUAAGCCUGUGUAUAGUCCAAGAGAGAGGCUUGGAGAGAGGUGUCUUGUUAAUUACCAAUAUGGCUGUAAAAGCAUGAUUUUUUGGCUACAUGAGACCAAGCUGGCAGUCCUUCUGAAUUGCAAUUCCACCAUUCAACACAUGGAGUAUAUCAAAACACAUGGAGUAGCCAUUUUUAUUCCCGUUCACUACCGUUUAUUCUUAAUUUAUGCUAGUAUUCUCAAGGAACCUAUUAUUCCUAAAAUUAUUCCAGCAUAAUCCCCGCACCCCUAGUGCCCAACCAACUCUCACAGCUUAGAUACGCCCCUGCCUGUGGGGGCAAGUGCCCUCAUAACUGCUUCUUGUGCCCCUGCAACUAGCCUGAACUAGGCAGGAGAAUGAAAGAUACAAGUUACAACUGACUCAACUGAGCUUACUAUAUUGAGUAUUCAUAAGCAUUGCUUUAUUCAGUGCCCCCACUGUGCCCUUUUUCUUCAUUUAUUCUAGCUACGCCACUGCAUGGUACGACUUUUGCGUACCUCUCAGGAGAAUAGACUACAUUCUAUUGCUAUGAAACUACAAUAAAGAGACCCUUUACAUGUUUUUACAUUGUUUAAAGUUGUUUUUUAAUUUUCCUGUUGCUGGUUUUUUAGUUAUAACAAUUUACAUUCA
Long non-coding RNA from Amphimedon queenslandica, 774 nucleotides. RefSeq lists it as uncharacterized. The transcript is spliced from 2 exons. The record is from RefSeq and is a predicted model, not a curated record. Lineage: Eukaryota; Metazoa; Porifera; Demospongiae; Haplosclerida; Niphatidae.